GGGGCUCCUUGGUGAUUCAUAAUAACUUAACGAAUCGCAUGGCCUUGUGCCGGCGAUGGUUCAUUCAAAUUUCUGCCCUAUCAACUUUCAAUCGUAUGGUAUUGGCCUACGAUGGUUUCAACGGGUAACGGGGAAUUAGGGUUCUAUUCCGGAGAGGGAGCCUGAGAAACGGCUACCACAUCCAAGGAAGGCAGCAGGCGCGCAAAUUACCCAAUCCCGACACGGGGAGGUAGUGACAAUAAAUACUGAUACAGGGCUCUUUUGGGUCUUGUAAUUGGAAUGAGUACAAUUUAAAUCCCUUAACGAGGAACAAUUGGAGGGCAAGUCUGGUGCCAGCAGCCGCGGUAAUUCCAGCUCCAAUAGCGUAUAUUAAAGUUGUUGCAGUUAAAAAGCUCGUAGUUGAACCUUGGGCCUGGUUGGUCGGUCCGCCUCACCGCGUGCACUGAUCCGACCGGGCCUUUCCUUCUGGGGAGCCGCAUGCCCUUCACUGGGUGUGUCGGGGAACCAGGACUUUUACUUUGAAAAAAUUAGAGUGUUCAAAGCAGGCCUAUGCUCGAAUACAUUAGCAUGGAAUAAUAGAAUAGGACGUGUGGUUCUAUUUUGUUGGUUUCUAGGACCGCCGUAAUGAUUAAUAGGGAUAGUCGGGGGCAUCAGUAUUCAAUUGUCGGAGGUGAAAUUCUUGGAUUUAUUGAAGACUAACUACUGCGAAAGCAUUUGCCAAGGAUGUUUUCAUUAAUCAGUGAACGAAGUUAGGGGAUCGAAGACGAUCAGAUACC
RNAcentral lists this ribosomal RNA (776 nucleotides) under uncultured eukaryote. RNAcentral describes it as "SSU rRNA". It matches the Rfam family "Eukaryotic small subunit ribosomal RNA", at positions 235 to 1016 of the family's 1831-position model. The record is from RNAcentral.